RNAcentral lists this small RNA (29 nucleotides) under Bombyx mori (domestic silkworm). RNAcentral's name for it is "ovarian small RNA-34818". Lineage: Eukaryota; Metazoa; Arthropoda; Insecta; Lepidoptera; Bombycidae. The record is from RNAcentral.
UGGCCGUCUGCUGGACCUUCAGGCCACCC